RNAcentral lists this ribosomal RNA (198 nucleotides) under uncultured bacterium. RNAcentral's name for it is "partial 16S ribosomal RNA". It matches the Rfam family "Bacterial small subunit ribosomal RNA", at positions 328 to 539 of the family's 1533-position model. The record is from RNAcentral.
ACGCUCGACACCUACAGGAGGCAGCAGUGGGGAAUAUUGCACAAUGGGGGAAACCCUGAUGCAGCAACGCCGCGUGAAGGAAGACGGUUUUCGGAUUGUAAACUUCUGUUCUUAGUGAAGAUAGUGACGGUAGCUAAGGAGCAAGCCACGGCUAACUACGUGCCAGCAGUCGCGGUAAUCUGAGCGGGCUGGCAAGGC